UAACAUCCUGAGUUUCAAAACAUUGCUAAAGAGGUAGGUCUUGGCUCAUGGCAGCCGGGAAUUGUUGGCCCAGACUACAAGAUAAGAAGUGAGCGGAUGAGAGCAAACGGUCCAGAGAUUGGCAGACGUAGAGAGAGAAAAGUUGACGGAUCAGAGCGGAAAUCGUAGUUAGAUAAUUGGAGUCUUGGAGUAUUGUAUAUAGUGGUUAUUAUUAGUACUUACUGGGGGACAAAGAUAGACG
This 241-nucleotide long non-coding RNA is filed under the name Coffea arabica (coffee). RNAcentral describes it as "long non-coding RNA (CARA_LNC006984)". The record is from RNAcentral. Lineage: Eukaryota; Viridiplantae; Streptophyta; Magnoliopsida; Gentianales; Rubiaceae.